UACAGAGGUGGCAAGCGUUGUUCGGAAUUACUGGGCGUAGAGGGCGCGUAGGCGGCCUUCUAAGUCAGACGUGAAAUCCCCCGGCUUAACCUGGGAACUGCGUCUGAUACUGGGAGGCUUGAGUAUGGGAGAGGGAUGUAGAAUUCCAGGUGUAGCGGUGAAAUGCGUAGAUAUCUGGAGGAACACCGGUGGCGAAGGCGGCAUCCUGGACCAACACUGACACUGAGGAGCGAAAGCCAGGGGAGCAAACGGG
This 253-nucleotide ribosomal RNA is filed under the name uncultured bacterium. RNAcentral's name for it is "partial 16S ribosomal RNA". It matches the Rfam family "Bacterial small subunit ribosomal RNA", at positions 524 to 776 of the family's 1533-position model. The record is from RNAcentral.